GGAUAUCUAGAGUGCAGGAGAGGAAAGCGGAAUUCCUAGUGUAGCGGUGAAAUGCGUAGAGAUUAGGAAGAACACCAGUGGCGAAGGCGGCUUUCUGGACUGUAACUGACGCUGAGGCACGAAAGCGUGGGUAGCAAACAGGAUUAGAUACCCUGGUAGUCCACGCCGUAAACGAUGGAUACUAGGUGUAGGGGGUAUCAACUCCCUCUGUGCCGCAGUUAACACAAUAAGUAUCCCGCCUGGGGAGUACGGUCGCAAGAUUAAAACUCAAAGGAAUUGACGGGGGCCCGCACAAGCAGCGGAGCAUGUGGUUUAAUUCGAAGCAACGCGAAGAACCUUACCUGGACUUGACAUCCCUUGCAUAGCCUAGAGAUAGGUGAAGCCCUUCGGGGCAAGGAAACAGGUGGUGCAUGGUUGUCGUCAGCUCGUGUCGUGAGAUGUUAGGUUAAGUCCUGCAACGAGCGCAACCCUUGUUAUUAGUUGCUACCAUUAAGUUGAGCACUCUAAUGAGACUGCCUGGGUAACCAGGAGGAAGGUGGGGAUGACGUCAAAUCAUCAUGCCCCUUAUGUCCAGGGCUACACACGUGCUACAAUGGUAGGUACAAUAAGAGGCAAGACCGUGAGGUGGAGCAAAACUUAUAAAGCCUAUCUCAGUUCGGAUUGUAGGCUGCAACUCGCCUACAUGAAGCUGGAGUUGCUAGUAAUCGCGAAUCAGAAUGUCGCGGUGAAUACGUUCCCGGGCCUUGUACACACCGCCCGUCACACCAUGAGAGCUGGUAACACCCGAAGUCCGUGAGGCAACCGUAAGGAGCCAGCGGCCGAAGGUGGGAUUAGUGAUUGGGGUGAAGUCGUAACAAGGUAGCCGUAGGAGAACCUGCGGCUGGUCACCUCCUU
This 894-nucleotide ribosomal RNA is filed under the name bacterium enrichment culture. Its description in RNAcentral is "bacterial SSU rRNA". It matches the Rfam family "Bacterial small subunit ribosomal RNA", at positions 635 to 1532 of the family's 1533-position model. The record is from RNAcentral.